Molecule: long non-coding RNA, 888 nt
Organism: Pseudophryne corroboree (corroboree frog)
Lineage: Eukaryota; Metazoa; Chordata; Amphibia; Anura; Myobatrachidae
Exons: 4
Source: RefSeq, a predicted model, not a curated record
AAUGCAAAGUGUUAAGCAGGACUGCGCGGGCUUGGGCGGCACACGGCCACAGACUUCACUGUACAUAUCGCGUAACAUCCCCGACUCCAGGCUGCAGCAACUAUCUGGUCCCUCCCCCUCCUCGUUCUGCACCCGAGCCGUCCGUACUCACAGCCAACCAGACAGGCAUCAGCAGCACCACAGCAGCGGAGCUUGGGGGCAGAGGCCGCUUUUGCAGGGAAGCAGAUCCCGACUCUAGUGCUUCCUCCUGCUCUCCCAAAACAGCUUUCAUUAUUAUUAUUUUAAUGAAAGGGGCGUGGUCACGGAGGUCCGUGGUUAGGCCCCGCCUCCGACUUUGCCUGGGCCUCGGUGGGUGUCUGUGUGGCUCUGCAGGACCUGGAGGGAUCUGCGGCAGUGUGGUGCAAUGAAGGGGCAUGCAGCAGUACUGUCAGCGCAGUACUAGCAGGAGGAGGCGGUCCAGCCAAUCCAGCCCCCCCUCUCACCUUUUCUUCCUCUCUCUACCGCUGUUGCCCAACAUCAUGAUCCCAAGAAAACCAGAAGAGGGGACCUGCUGCUGUCGGCGCUGAAAGGAGGACCAGCUGCUACCGGCACUGAUGAGAAGAGGGACCCGCCGCUGCCUGAGGCAGAAUCUACUUUUGUGACUCCCCCCACAAUCGAAUUGACCAGUUAUCUGGGAAGUCAGUCAUACCCCUGAUGAAGUCUUGAUGAGAAACGAAAUGCGAUCGGUUUAUGCAUUCUUUUGUGACUACUAGAUCUUCCUAGCAAGAGGUCGGGAGAAAGACUUAAUGUCAUAACAUGGAAGCUGUUCUAUUUAGUUGAUCAAAUAUAUGAAAAAUUCUUUGUUUUUAUAAAAGAAAGGACUCUUUCAAUAAAUCUGUUUGAUUGGAA